This 253-nucleotide ribosomal RNA is filed under the name uncultured bacterium. RNAcentral's name for it is "partial 16S ribosomal RNA". It matches the Rfam family "Bacterial small subunit ribosomal RNA", at positions 524 to 776 of the family's 1533-position model. The record is from RNAcentral.
UACGAAGGGGGCUAGCGUUGCUCGGAAUUAUUGGGCGUAAAGGGAGCGUAGGCGGGUUAUCAAGUUGGAGGUGAAAGCCCAGGGCUCAACCUUGGAAUUGCCUUCAAAACUGAUAGCCUAGAGUAUGAUAGAGGUAUGUGGAACUCCGAGUGUAGAGGUGAAAUUCGUAGAUAUUCGGAAGAACACCAGUGGCGAAGGCGACAUACUGGGUCAUGACUGACGCUGAGGCUCGAAAGCGUGGGGAGCAAACAGG